RNAcentral lists this long non-coding RNA (254 nucleotides) under Monodelphis domestica (gray short-tailed opossum). RNAcentral's name for it is "lncRNA (ENSMODG00000037911.1)". Lineage: Eukaryota; Metazoa; Chordata; Mammalia; Didelphimorphia; Didelphidae. The record is from RNAcentral.
AUGGCCAAGGCUUUUCUGCUCUUAUGGGUGACUGAAUAUAAGUUGUUUAAUAGCGUUCUACAGGUAAAAUACCAUUACAACAAAAAUCUUUAUAGAACAAACCAUUUCCAAAUUAUAGCAGAUGGUUUCCUUCUUUCAUGCAAUAUUAAACAUAACAAAAUGGAAGAAAAACAGAAUAAUUUGGACAUUACCUUGGGGCUUGAUUUAAUGAAACAUGAUCAGCAAUAAUGGCUUUCUAGGUAUUAAUAUUUGAC